CAUGCGCAGAGGAGGGAGAGUGGACAUGAUGGGCGUGACAGAGUAUAGGAUAGGGUGAGAUGGAGUAGGAGCAGCGCCCUCUGCUGGUGUCUCCAGACUUGGACCGCGGUUUCUCCUCCUGUUUGCUUCGGGUGGAAGAGAAGACUGACAGCUGACACCCAGAUGAACAUCAGCCAGAUCAGGCCGGCUAUCAUGUUUACUUCCGGACACUGUGUCGAUGUACUGCUCCUGGAUCAUGAAGGCUGCCAGGUUGGCUGU
Pundamilia nyererei is the source of this 258-nucleotide long non-coding RNA. RefSeq lists it as uncharacterized. The record is from RefSeq and is a predicted model, not a curated record. The transcript has 4 exons. Lineage: Eukaryota; Metazoa; Chordata; Actinopteri; Cichliformes; Cichlidae.